AACCUACGGGGCGCAGCAGUAGGGAAUCUUCCACAAUGGACGAAAGUCUGAUGGAGCAACGCCGCGUGAGUGAAGAAGGGUUUCGGCUCGUAAAGUUCUGUUGAAGGGGAAAAAGAGCGGAGAGAGGAAAUGGUCUCCGAUUGAUAUUACCCUUCGAGGAAGUCACGGCUAACUACGUGCCAGCAGCCGCGGUAAUACGUAGGUGGCGAGCGUUAUCCGGAAUUACUGGGUGUAAAGGGAGAGUAGGCGGCAAGGUAAGCGAUAUGUGAAAGCCUUAGGCUUAACCAAAGGAUUGCAUAACGAAA
Molecule: ribosomal RNA, 305 nt
Filed under: uncultured bacterium
Lineage: Bacteria
Description: bacterial SSU rRNA
Rfam family: Bacterial small subunit ribosomal RNA
Source: RNAcentral